Molecule: ribosomal RNA, 543 nt
Filed under: Salmonella enterica
Lineage: Bacteria; Pseudomonadati; Pseudomonadota; Gammaproteobacteria; Enterobacterales; Enterobacteriaceae
Also listed under: 1 other name
Description: partial 23S ribosomal RNA
Rfam family: Bacterial large subunit ribosomal RNA
Source: RNAcentral
GUCUUAAUUGGGCGUUAAGUUGCAGGGUAUAGACCCGAAACCCGGUGAUCUAGCCAUGGGCAGGUUGAAGGUUGGGUAACACUAACUGGAGGACCGAACCGACUAAUGUUGAAAAAUUAGCGGAUGACCUGUGGCUGGGGGUGAAAGGCCAAUCAAACCGGGAGAUAGCUGGUUCUCCCCGAAAGCUAUUUAGGUAGCGCCUCGUGAAUUCAUCUCCGGGGGUAGAGCACUGUUUCGGCUAGGGGGCCAUCCCGGCUUACCAACCCGAUGCAAACUGCGAAUACCGGAGAAUGUUAUCACGGGAGACACACGGCGGGUGCUAACGUCCGUCGUGAAGAGGGAAACAACCCAGACCGCCAGCUAAGGUCCCAAAGUCAUGGUUAAGUGGGAAACGAUGUGGGAAGGCCCAGACAGCCAGGAUGUUGGCUUAGAAGCAGCCAUCAUUUAAAGAAAGCGUAAUAGCUCACUGGUCGAGUCGGCCUGCGCGGAAGAUGUAACGGGGCUAAACCAUGCACCGAAGCUGCGGCAGCGACGCUUAUGCGU